GUAAAGCAGUUAAAUGGGUAGGAAGAAAGCAUUAACUGAACAACAAGUUAAAAGGCAGACAGCACAAUGAGUCUUGAUGAGAAGGAAACCUUUCUAGGGUGUGGACAGGUCUCAGACUAGCAAAGAUGCCAGCAAUGAAAAGAUUGGAGAGCGAUCAAGAUGUUCACACGAUUAUCCAACCUCCUUCCCCCCCCCCAAAAAAAAAUAAAAGAAAGGAAGGAAGGAGGGAAGAGAGAGGAAGGAGGAAAGAGGAAGGAGGAAAAAGGAUGGGAGAAGAAAGAAGAGGAGGAAGAGAAGGGGGCAGGGAUCACAAAGAAAUCCAGGCUGAGUGUGAAGGCACAUUUCUUCCAUCCUAACAUGCAAAGUGUUGACAGAGGAAGUUCAGGUGUUUGAAGCAGCCUGUACUAAAGGAUGGGGGUGGGAGGGGUGCAGGGAAUGAGAGACUUGCGUUUUAAAGACCCUGCACGUGAUAAGCUAGGUCUGUCUAAUUGACUGGAAACCCUCUUCACAAGGUUGAAGUUAGAAUCCAUUCAUAAGAUAUUAGUUUUCAUUAAGCCUGGAAACUUGGAAGAUUGGAUGAAAUGAGGGUCUCAGUUUGCUCAGGCUUUGCUAAUUACCCCACAAAUGGCCAAAAAGGAAAAUAAAAUUAAGACCUUCAUCCUUUGACAGACUGAAUUGUUCCAAACAUCAAAAAUUAAUGUGUUCAGUUACUUCAAAGGAGUAGAAUGCAGUGGUGCCCACUAAAACCUGGAGCUGGGGAAGAGGAAAAGGGUAACUCUCCCAGGUCUGACAUGAUGGUGAUAGCACAGAAGGAAGCAAAGAAAGAGAACACGAAACCUUGGGUGUGUGAAUGAGAAAUGAGCCCCUAGUCUCAGGUAUUCGAACACAUGGUCAUAGUCGGUGGUUCAGUUUCUGGAGGUUUAGGAGGUGUGAUGGGGGCAAUAAAUCACUGGGGCAGAGGUUUGAGAAUUUAAAGACUUGAGCCACAUGUGGUUCAGUCUCUCAGUUGUGCUGCAGCUCAAUACGUGUGACCUUGGCAUCCUGCUUCAGCCAUACUAUCUAUCCCAAAGGCAAAACGGAUGGAAAUCUGCCCACAUAAGGCAGACACAUACACAGAAGAAGAAAGAGACAGACAGACAGAGAAAGGAGAAAGAGGAGAGGGGGUAGAGGAGGAAGAGAGACAGAAACAGAAGGUGUGGGUCAUGAGUUCCUAUGCUCCAUUAAUUGGUUCUAAGGGGUAAAACCAGUUCACUCCACAAUAAGGGUUAAGUCCUUCCCUUACCAAGAGCUCAGGAAGAAAGUGUGUACGUCUUUAUUCAGGGUAAUAUUUAUGCUUUCUAGAAAGAUUUAAUCCUAAAACAUUGGACAAUGGGCCUAGUUUGAACACAUUAGGCCAGAGCCUCACGGUAAUUGCUGUGUGGGUUGGAAGACACUCGGGAGAGUAGUGAACACAUUAAACAGAAAGCACGCUAUCUUUACUUAAAGGCCAAUUCUGUGUCAAGAGUCUGCAUUUAUCCCUACUGCCAACAACAAUAUACAGCACCCUUGAACUCACCAUGUUUAACUGCUAAGUAUCUUGGACAAAACUGAGAGAGAAAGGGAGAAAGGAUGACACUGGCAGUCAAUAAACAAAUUCUCCCGUCAGAGUUAACAACUCUUCCCUCAUAUUUUCCUCUUAAAUGAGUGGCUCAUCCGAGUAGCCAGAAAAAAAAAAUCCACUUUGCCAAGCUCCCGGGCAGAGAAGGAAAGGGGUCCCUGGCUACAAAGAAAUGAUGGGAGGGGAUAUGACACCGUUCCUAAGCAUGGGUGACCCUUGUUUCACUCACUGAUGGUCUACACCUCUCCUCUUCUUGGAAGAGAAAUGUCACUGUGAAUGCUUCAUUCUGCAUCUGAAAAGCAGCAGGAUAGAAUCAUGGUUCUUGUGAUACCCAGCCUUAAUAGGCACGCCCGGCAGUCAGCUCUUGGGUUCAAAUUCCAUUCUCAAAUAAGAAGAGCCACAGAUGCUUGGAGAAACUGCCGGUUCCAGGGUUGAGGCAAAGAUGCAUGAGAGAUGAGUAUGUAGGAUAUUCAAGUGUCCAAAAGGACAAUACUACCAUUUCUUAAAAAAAUAUUUUUAACGCACCACACAACAGUGGCAGGGUAUCAAUAUAUAACAGUACUAGUUUAUAGUCUAUGGAAAAGCUAAACACGCGAGUUCAUAGUGGCAAACAAAAGAGGCUUGGAAAGCAACAAAAUGGAAAAGGCCAACGAAUCCAAGUUUAGUAGGCCAAGGAGCCAAGGCCUUCUGCCCUUGAAUGUGGCCCUUCUCCCAAAACCCACAGCCCCAGAUGCAAUUACAGGAAACGCAUCAAGCCAGUUCCAGCACUGUACAAAAACCCUGACCAGAAGUCCUCACACUCAGGACAGUCAUCAAACACAGGACAGCCAGACGCACUGUUACAGCCAAAAGGCUUCAAAGACAUGUGACCACACGUGGUGUGUGAUACCAAUUGAGAGUACCUAACAGAAACGGGAACUGAGGUAAAACUUGAAGUGAUCUGAAUGAAGGCUGAACGACAGUUAAAGGACUUACAGCCUCGAACAAAUAUAGCAUCUCAAUCGGGGAUUCCAGUGACAGAAAACUGAGUGAGAGUUCCAGAAAGCUCCCUGGACCAUACGUGCAUUUUUCCCACGAUUCUAUGAAAGGGUGAGACUUAUUUCUACAGAAAAGUCCACCCAUGAUGAAUUAAAAAUAAAGAUGGGUAUUCUGGAAAAAAAUCAGCAUAUACUAUAUCAGUUUGAGAGGCUAUUAAAGAUACAUUUUGCCAUUAAGAAAGAAGGGGGGGAAGAGGAGGAGGAGAAAGACUAAAGUGGAUUACAGCUUUAAUCCCGGUACUUAGGAGGCAGAGGCAGGAGGAUCUCUGAUUGAUGUAGGCUAGGUUACAGGUUGAGUUCCAAGACAGCCAAAGGCUACAGAGAGAAACCUUGUGGGGAGGGGAGGGAAGGAAGGACGGGAAAAGAAGAGGAGGGGAGGGGAGGGGAGGGGAGGGGAGGGGAGGGGAGGGGAGGGGAGGGGAGGGCAAAAGCCAAAGCCAAAGCCAAACUGGUAACAAUUCUGACAGUCCAUGAGUCUGUUAGAGGAAAAGUGCUUUUCUGAAGGUGGUUACAAAUUAGAAACACAGAUUGGGAGAUGGCAGAUAGGUAGAUGCUGUGCAAGUAUGAAGACCUGAGUUCAACUCCCAAAUACCUCUGUAAAAAGACUGGUAUGGAUGCAUGUGCCUAUAGCUCUAGAAUUGGGAGACAAACACUGUACUCUCUUGAGCAGUUACCAGCCCAGUUACCACUGUUCAAAAUACACUAUUUAGAAGCCAGGAUGUUUAAGCAUGGUGGUUUUCCUUGGUAUUGUCACUAUCCAUCUUUCCAAGAUGAUUCCAUUUACAAUUAAUAGUUCACUUUGCCCACUGUAUCCCUCUGGCUUUCUUGUCAUUUACUUCCUCAUACUUAUUGACUCAUAGAAUUGAUUCAUUUUAACAUUAACUGCUUUGUAUCCAAACGAUUACUAAAACAUGGGAAAAUGUAACCAGAAGUUAACAUGCGUAUUGAUUUUUAAACCAGUAAGACGAAGUACAAUAAUUGCCCACUACACAACUGAAUAGGGAUACGUCUGUCUUCUUGUCCAACACAAUCCUCUUCCAUUCCACAGAAACUUUGCUUAACCAAUGUUGGGAUUAACACAUCUCUUUCCUCUAUGCCAGCAGUGGGCAUAGCGGCAUGUCUAUCUUCCCUGUCAUCCUGACAGGGUUAGGGAAAGAGGUAGCAAGCCAAUUGUAAGCUAUCGGAAAGUGGUUGUUAGUUCCCUGAGAGGAGAGUCUUUGCUGUGGAAAUUGGAGGCAGCUGGCAGCUGUACUAUUCCCACAUUAUGAUAUCUCAGAAGAGGCAAACAGCAGCCGCAAAGCUGGAAGAAGGUGGAGUGGGAAACAGACUCGGGAUGCUAUUUAAACUACAGAAUGGAGGAUGCUUAAGAAAAGAUUCACUUCUUGGAUAACCCACUUUUACAAAACCAUAAACCACAAAGCCACCUUCAAACUUCAGCCAGUCUGAACUGACUACAAAGAUCAGGGUUAGUUAGCUCCAUGUAUCAACAAACUGAAAUGGAGGUGUGGCUGAAGUAGUCACCUGCCAGAGUGUAGAGGGAGGUAGUCGGUCUAUGGUACACUAAGGUAGGCGACCAUGGAAGUAUGACUCUCUCUUCUGAAAGAACCCAAUGAUAGCCCAUUUCACAGCUCGACUAUCCUUCGGCCUGGGCAUGUUCCUCAUGAGUCAAUAUAUUAGCUUGGGCUCCAUUACAGACAAUAGAAAGGAAGACAGGAUGAGACCAAGAGUCAAAAGGAAUGCGAUGGGUUAGUUUAAAAUCUAAUUCCUUUAUUUGUAGGCAAAAUAGUACACCAUUCAUGAGAUAUGAAAAAUUCAUCAGAUAAGAACUGGGUUAUAUCUUUAACUAGGAAAUAUUACAUUCUAUAAAGCAACAGAGACAGGAAGAAACCUGGAAAAAAAGAAAAAAACAAAAACAAAAAACAAAAUCAACAACAACAACAACAACAACAACAACAACAAAAACCUAAAACCUUUGCAUAACAAGGGCACCAUUCACACAUUAGAUUAGUGCCUGGUGCUCAUAUACACCAGUGACGCAGUAGGUUGGCGCAUGGUUCUUAUAUGCACCAGGUGGCUUUAAAGAUGUGUUCACAUGCACUCAAGAUCCAGUUUUUAUCCCACUGGCUAGAACCUGCUUGUCGACAUGUAAAGUAGAGUAGCUUCACCAUGACAUCCAUGUAGACUUUAUAUCCAUGUAGAUCAUAACAAGCAGAAACUCUGUAAUAGAUAAGAAACGUCAGAACAGAGCGGCAACAACCAGCCCGAAACAGUUGGGAUUUUAUAUUUUUCCAAGCAAAGGAACAAACAGAAAUCAAAUGUUCCAUUGUAACCAUCAUUCAAUGAAUGGCUUUUUAACACCAGAAAUACAAGGCAUUAAAUCAUUUCUGACAUUCAUAUUCUAGGAAGGCCCUGUCUAUAGAAUGGCACGUAUAUAGAAACACUUAUAUAGAAAAACUUAUAUAGUAGCACCCUGCAGUGCCUGGAAACCUUUGAGAACAGAGCUUUUAUCAUGUGGUCCAAUGUUAAAACCAUAAUGAUAUAAAGCAAAGAAAGAACUAAAAAUCUAGACUAGAUCAGGAAAUUCAAUUAGGGUGGAGGGCAAACAAGAAACUCAACAGGAAAACAUAUGGAUAAAUAAUUGACAGAAAGGCAAACUCCGAAAGUCACCAGGAAGACAGCUAGCUGCUGAGCCAAGAGGAGGCCGAGCAUAAACAUUGACUCUCACCCUCUCUACCGUGCAAAUACAGGGCAGGUAACAGACAUUCGGGGGGCAAAUGAGAAAUGAGUCAAUGAAAUCUAAAUUAUUUUUGGAGAGGAAUAAACGAAAGCAGAUGGAUGAAAGGUAAAAGCACUGAUUUGGGAGCCUCAGAAAGCUGAAUGAGGCUAAGCUGACCAAGGGAAAAACGGAAAACAACUUACUCAACAACUAAAGGUCUCAGAGUCCAGGCACUGCCAGACAUAUCUGACUUUAGAAAUAGAGGAAAGUUAUUUGCUGAAAAAAACCUGGGAGACUCAUUGACAAACCAUCUAAGAAUGAAUAAGGGCCCCACUCUAAGGAACUCACCUUGAGGACUGCUGUCACAGACCCUCAGGAGACCAGAGCUUAUUUUGUGAAUAGAGUAUAAACAUAUAAGCCUCCACUGAGAGAUCAUCUAGCCAGGGGAGGGGAAGGGCUCAGACAGAGAAGGGCAUGAAAGAAAUGGCAGGACCAUGAAUCCAGGUCCUGAGCAUCCAGACUACCCACAGCUCUCUAGUUCUGUAAGUUUAAAGUUCUUAAGUUCAGAAUGUAGUUCUACAGAGAAGCCAAUCAGUCAUCGAAUAAACCCUAAAGAUGCCUCCUGCUUUGACAAGCAGUUCCCCUGUCUAGGGGCCCUCUGAGAAACCCAAAGACAAGCUCUGGAAAAGAGAAAGAAAGCUGAUUGGUGACUGAAACAGAGACAGUAUACUUCUUUAAUGCAUCCACAAGUGGAUGCUGGAAGGACAGGGAUUCUCAUCAGAACAAGUGUCGCCAGCAAUUAAACAUGACAGUGAAAGACAAAACAAGGAGAGUGUGGAUAAGAAGACAGUGAGGUCCUGGGAUGUGUUUUGUUUUAGGUUUUUAAGAAAGGAAGCAACCGAAGCUAAAGGAGAUGAGAAAGGGUGUGUUGAUAAUGAGAAUGAAAACUGAAAUCUUGGCCCAAAAUAUCCAACACUGAGUGAGAAUGUAUGUGCCUAGAAGAAAAACAAAGCUCAGACAGGACCCCCAUGUCCCCGUGAUCAUUUGACUCAAGCUCAGGCUGCUGGGAUCAACGCCUACAGAGCUAUCUUUAAGAGAAGUGCUAUCCUAAUCCUCCAACCCUUCCCAAAAUCAUCACUUGCCAUCUUAACUCUAGCGUAGCUCAAUCUGGGUCAACGAGAGUUCUAUACUUGAAAACAGAAAUCUUUAAAAGGAAGGAUUUAGGGUUCCAGAGGCAGAGGCCACUUGAUAGCUUAAAAAGCAUCGUGCACACAAGCACAUGACGGUGUAUCAUUGAGACAGACAGAAUGCAAGGAGUAAGGCAUGUGUGCCAAGACCCUGGAGAAGAUGAGCCGAAGAGAAGUUAAUUAACAAAGGAAUGGUGCUAACAGCCUCCAAGUGGAGACUAUGGUGAAAGAAUGCUUCCAAAGGCCAAAAGAAAAUGAUCUCCUGUCCUGAACAGCACAUCCAGACGCACUGUGCAACAUGUGUGAACAGAGUCUGCUGAAGACACUGGAUUCCAGUGAACUUUUCUCACAUACGUUAUGGUUAUGAAAACCCUCUUUAGCAAGGGGGACAUGGUUAGCAAAGAAGGAAAUAAACCAAGAAGAGUUCAACCAAGAGCUAAGGAGACAGAGAGCUUGGGAGGAGAAGGUUUGGAUCCGGGAGAGAGAUGGGCACAGGGCAGAGCUGUCAUAGCAUUCUGAAGAUGGUGGGUAGUACAGAAUACUUCUUGACUCUGAAAACACUGGAAGAAGUAGAUCAUGAUGGAUCUGUGGCAGCAGGAUGAACACUGGAACCGAAAGCACGGAGGAGCUCCAAGACACUGAACUGUGGAUACAAGCCCCAAAGCUAAAACCUCAAAGGCAAAAAUAAACCAAUGGAAUACAUGAAACUCAAGAGCUCCCGUAUAGCCAAGGGAACUGUCAAGCAAGCAAAGAGAUAACCUGGAAGAUGGGGGCGGGGGGGAAGGGGGGACUGUGUUUGUAAAGCAAGUAUCAGAAAUGUGCUAAAAAUGGAAGGCACAGCAAUGGGAGCUAGUGAGACAUCUGAGAGACGUGCUCACCAAUGAGGAAGGCAAACACCUUGGCUGUUGGUUAUGUACUACCUGAAAGAAUUAGUCCCCUGAAGCAAAUUUCCAUUGCAGUUUUCUAAGUUUUCAAGUCAACGCCCUAUGGCAGCAACAUUUCUGGGCAAUCAUUCUUAACACAGAUUCAAUAGACUCAAGAACUGCAGUUUCUGGACAAGGUCACCUCCUCCCAACAUCUGUCCUUCUCCCCCUUACCAUGGCCAGGCAAAAAGAACAAGGACUCUUGGCUCUGUCCUUUAUGCCUAGAAUUCUCCACUGUUGCCCCAAAGCCUCUCAAUUCCCCUUCCCUCCUACUAGGUCAUUCUUACCCUACUACCCACCCCCGCCUCUGCCAGCCAGUAGCUUUGUCUCCACCUAAAACCUCCGGGUGCUUCCUUGACUUCUACUGUGUAGCCAGAACGCCCAACCCCCAAUGCCUAUUACAAAUACACAUGGUGGUUUAAACGUCUGUCAACCCCGGAGUAAUGUGAUGUAUCAACCCUUAAACAUCAUUAUUAUUGUUGUUGUUGUUGUUGUUGUUGUUGUUGUGGAUGCAGUGGUUGUUAUUAUUUUUACUCUAAUGUCGAGUUUGCCAUAUGUUGGCAAUGAUCAUUUUCAGAUAAUUGCUGUAGUAAACUGAAUAUUGAAAAGACUAAGGUGAAAUUUUCUUUUUUCCAUUUUAACUUUCAUAUUCAGAUGUUGGAUAUUUGGGGCCAAGAUUUCUGUUUUCAUCCUCAUUAUCCCCACCCCCUUUAGCAUUUUAAUAGUUAAAAUAUCAUAUAAGCAAACCUAGAGAAAAUGUUCAUAGCAAUAAAUAAGUAUUCGCUUAAUAUUUAUAGUGAAAAACUAUCUGUAUUCUAAAAAUAUUUUGUUUGUAUGCAGUAUCAUUGAAGUAAGAUAGAUGUAUUUCUCUGUCGUUAGCAACUUUAAUAGGGAGAAACACCAUUAUUUUCUUUGUCUUUCCUACUAUCACUGUUAAAGUUAUACCAUGCCAGGUAAUUUCUCUACUACGUCUUUUCAAUGUACUAAAUAAUUGAAUGUUCCCAAUAACCCCAAGAGCUCAAGUUUCCAUCAUUAUUUCAUAGAUGAGGAAGUAGAGAAUACGGACAAGUUGAAAGACUGUUGGAGUCAGACAAUGAGGAAGCAAUAGGCCUGAAGGCAAAGCUUAGCCCUGGGUUAAGCAUCACACACUCUGCCCCCAACCCUACCGCAUGGUUCUCCUGAAGUCCAGAAGAAUGGUUUGUGAAGGGUGGAAACUGUGUACCCAGAACAUUGGACUUGAAACCUGCAGAUAGUUUAACCAGUAUAGUAUGAGUGUUUGCAAGUUUGAAGUAUCACAUGAAUAUCUUGGGAGUAGAAAUGUUUUCAAAGGCUGGAGACCAAGCUCAGAGUUACUUGCUAUACAAGGACUUGAGUUGAGACUCUAGCACCCAUAUUGAAGGUUGGAAGUGGGGAUGCAUGGUGUAGCAAAAGUGCCUGUAAGGAUGUGGGGAGGCAGAAGGACUCAGGGCUCUCUGGCCAUCACGCUAGCUUCAGGGUCAGUGAGAGGUUCUGUCUUAAGGGAAUAAAGUAAUGAUAGAGUACCUUCUCCCUUGGCCUCCAUAAGUAUACACAUCAGCACACUAGCAUGUGCCUGUGGGUGCUUGGGCACACAUGCAUUACCCAUGUGUAUACCACACUGACAUACACACUACAAUGCCCACUUUAAGAUCUGAUCUACUUCAAUUUCUCCUGAUUUUUACCUUCUCCGGGACCUCUCAGACACAGCAAACACUUGCUCACGCUCGUCAAAUUAAACAGGCUUAGGGCAUGUUGCAUUUGAAAUGGCUCCAGGGUAUCUUCCAUGGUUAUUUCAUGCUAUUCACACUUUCAAAAUUCUUAUUACAGAGGGAGAGCAAACCAAGUAGAUAAAAUCCAUUGUGAUCUCCAAAGACAGCAAACAGGCCAGUCAGACUAGCUGAAGAAAUGCAGAGAACUCAAUUACCCAGCUUCAGAGAGAGUGAAAAGCUAAACAGGGGCUGUAGCCAGACGAUGUACUUUCUCAAAAGCAUUAAAACUCCCCAAUCAAGCCCCUUAGCUUGGCCUACAUCAAUUACCAUGUUCCAUGCCCCCAGAUCCUGGUUAGAAAGAGCAUGAAACACAUAUUGGUUUCAGAUUGAUGAAAACAGUGUGUGUUGGGGGUGGGGGGGCUGUGCACUUUAAAAUCAAAUACAAAUGCCUCAUUCUAUAAAUAAAAAUACUUUCAAAACUUAUGCAAGAGAACACAACUUUGAAAAUAAGGACCCAAGUGUCCAGUUUGGUCCUCUACUGAUAGUGUUUUGAGGUUAUUAAAAUAUAAUAAAUAUAUAGGGUUUCCUGUACGGUUCACUCCUGGCAUUAACACCAGCAGCUUCCUUUUGCUGAACAAUGACAGACUGGCUGACCAACCUAUUUAUAGCUCAUCUUCUAAUAAAAAUAAAGGAUGUUAAUAUUAUUUUUUUUUAAUCAUACAUGAGGUCUAGCCAGAUGGCUUAUCAGAUAAAAGCUCUUGGCACUGCACAGUGCAAGCCUGAAGAACUGCGUUAGAUUCCAAGAAACCCCAGUAAAGGUGGAAGGAGAGAAGUGAUUCCCAAAUCACCUUUGAACUUCCACAUACUGGGGCAAAUGCACACCCAUACAAAUGCACACCCAUACUGGGGCAAAUGCAUACCCAUACAAAAACAACAUUCACGCAUACACAUGUGCACACACAAAGAUACACACACACUCUUCUGGAUCUAAUUUUUAAAAGAUUUUUAUUUAUUAUUAUGUGUAAGUACACUUUAGCUGUCUUCAGACACACCAGAAGUGGGCAUCAGAUAUCAUUAUGGAUAGUUAUGAGCCAUCAUGUGGUUGCUGGGAAUUGAACUCAGGACCUUCAGAAGAGCAGUCAGUUCUCUUAACUGCUGAGUCAUCUCUCCAGCCCAAGGAUCUAAUUUUAAAAUCAUACAUGAGUUUAACUGCCUUCAAUGCUCAUCUAUCCCAAUGCAUCAAAUUACUGUACACUUAGGUGUCAAGGCAACACAGGAUUUAUUAGCAUACUGCCAUUUGGGAUGAUCACACACACACACACACACACACACACGCACACACACUAGGUCAAAAACAUCACUGCAGAGCAUCACACACCCAAGCCUCUCCAUGAACAAAAAAGGGCAAUAGCAGUCCAUACGCAGUAGGGAGCAAAAUCAAAACAGACAAAGCACAUGCCAUAUUCAAGAGCAUCUAGCAUCCAACCCUGAAUAAAACUUCUCAAGUCUCAAGACAUCAGCCCUUGACAAUACUGCUAAGUACCCUUGGAGAGAAUUGAAAGCAAAGCCCCCAAAAGAAAACCCACUUCAAGUUUUAAUAUGUCAAGUUCUGCCUUUUAUAUGCUCACUGAAAUAACUGAUAGCCUUAUCAUCAAAUAAAUUAGCAAUUUAGAUUUCUAUUUCUCUAUUUCUCAAAUGCACCCCAGUGAUUUAGAGUCCCUUAAAGUAAAGGGAAAAAUCUCACAGCAGAUAAUUCAUUAGAAGAAAAAAAGAAAACAACAAUGAGCUAUAGUAAGAAAUAAAUAUGAAAAAUUAACCAGGUACUGUGAGCCAUAUUUGUAAUCCCAGCUCUCUGGAGGCUGAGGCAGGAGUAUGGCUGAGACUUUGAGGCCAGGAGCUAUAGAAUGGUUUCUUAGCCCCAGCAUGGGCUAUGCAGUGAUGGGUUGAGUUACAUUUUGAGUUCUUGUUUGUGUGUGUGUGUGUGUGUGUGGGUGUGUGUGUGUGUGUGUGUGAGAGAGAGAGAGAGAGAGAGAGAGAGAGAGAGAGAGAAACCAAGGCAGCCAUGGUUGCCUUGGCUCUGAGUAUCUGACAAUGUUACCCAAUGUACAUUCAUGCUUCUCUUCAAGAUAGGGCAGAAAGCAGCCAAGCUCCUACACCAUGUCUUAUUUUUCUGCCAUUAUACACAUGAAACACACAUCGUUCACUGAGUGAAGAGCCAACUGUAGGUACAGUCAACACCCUUUAACCUACUUUCUGUGAUGUUUUUCAGGGCACUCUGCCUUGGGGCUAGUCUGAGCCACCCGGCAGCCAAAAAAUCUCAGUGGCUCAGACCAGCAAAGGUCAAGGUGUGUUCCUAUAUUCCCUUUGGUUACAGGAAAGGACAGGUACACACUGGUGGGAACUGGGGUGUUCAAUCAGCAUCAUUUCCGCCUAAGCCUGAGUUGCUCUAGAGACCAUGUGGUUACUAAGCAAUGGCUAUCAGUCUUGGAGCUCUAGGAAACAGACAUGCAAGGUGAGUUAGGAAGGACUCAGAGCAGGUAUGAAGGAUGCUAACCCAAACCAAACAGUACUGGAUGUGUACAGGUGGGCAACCAAUGCAGAUGGGAGAAAAAUCAUGAAGAGCCCAACUUAGGGUGCAGGUGCCAACACUCCAACCUAUACCCCAAAUAACCUGGGGGUACAGGGGAGAAUGAGCGUGUCUGAGACAGAGGUUACACCUGCAGACAUAGGAGCUCUUUGUGUUCAACAGAGUUCUUCCACACUCAAGGCAGCAUGAUUUACAGGGGCUAUACCCAAAGACACCUACUUAAAAGGGGAAGGAAGCUAGAAGCCAACAGCUCCUGAUCAUGGACAACUUUGUGAGGAUAUGGAUGUAUGGAAAGUGGAGGGUGAGAGAGAGUCAGGGAGGGACAGAAGAGGAAGGAGGAGAGGGAUAUGGUAAGCAUGGUAAAAGAAGACAGACACCCCAUGAUCUGAAAAGAAAACCAAGGAUUCCAGCAGGAAUCCAUACAUAAAUGCAACCCAAAUUCCACUGAGCUGGCCGCCAUUCUUUCUUAAGCAUCUGUUAGAUUUGGUGCUGAGUGGUUGUGAGAGGUUCAUAAGCCCUGUCUUUUACUGCUCACUGAUCAUUCUCCUUACAGUGGAGACUAAUAACACUGCAUAUGGUGCCUAAUGAAUUAAGAAUUGAACUUCCACCGCCCAAGCUGUGAAAUCAUGCAAUAGGUUUUGUGUGUGUUAGAACUCCGCUGAACACAAAGAAGCUCCUGGCACAGAGAAGAGAUGUGAAAUUUCCCUAUUUCUCAGGCAUUGGUCUAUGAACAGGCUUAGAAAAAUAAUGUGUGAAAAUGAAAAUUGUGGUACCAAUGAUGCUGUCAAGCUAACAUAAUGUUUUUUUCAAAACCUACAACAAACCCCAGCUCACCUAAAAUCCACUGGGCUGAAACACCGCAUUUUACCAUAAUUGGCUCUGGCUUUGAUCCUACAUGUGAAAGUAGAAUGGAAAAAUAUUUAGAAUCCAUGUCUGUCUUCCUCAGGCUGGAGGAGGGUGAAAUUCACUUCAGUGGAAGAAGAAGUCUGCACCCUUGCAGCUCCCUGCUGAGGCCUGGGAAAGGAGGCGAAGGAAAGAGCUGGGGAAUAUCAAUAUCGAGUCUUCAUGUGAGCCAGGGAGGCCGGAGCUGGGUCUCAGCACUGGGCCAGAGAAAGCCAGACUGUGAUGGGGAGCCAAGAACACAGACUUUAUACGUUGCAGAGAGAGAGAGAGAGAGAGAGAGAGAGAGAGAGAGAGAGAGAGAGAGAGAGAGAGAGAGACUGACUAUGGCACCUUUCUAAAAACAUGCUCUAACACUAGAUUGCAGGCCAUUGUGUUUCUGAACUUCUGAACCUGUCACUUUCCCUUAUUAUCAUAAAGUUUACUCAACACAGCCUUAAUAAAUAAAAAAGAAGAGGAAGAGGAGGAGGAGGAGGAGGAGGAGGAAGCAGAAAGAAAAGGUAAGAGAAUUAUAACAAAGCUAUGUUCCUGCUGUGUUGGCAGUUAGGUGCAAUGUGCAAGCCAGUCAGUCAGGUUAAGGGAAAAGUAGGCCAGGUCUAGCUGCCUGCAACCUUCAAACCAUUCCUCACUUGCGUGUCUCCCAAAGAAACUUACUGUGCAUGGAAGGUAGCUCAGGCGUGUGUUCCUAGCAUGUACUAGGUCCUGAGUUCUAUCUCCAGCCCCAGACAAACCUGGGUAUGGUGACACACACCUGUAAUACCGGUAGGCAAGCAAGAGGGUGUGGAUUCCAAGGUUCUCCUUGAUUAUAGCAAGCUGAAGGCCGGCCUUAGCUAUGUGAGACUCUGUCUCCAAAACAAGCGGAGAGGGAUGAAGGGGAAGAAGAGAAAGAUGGGAAGAGAAGGGGAAGACAGGAAGGGGAAGGGGAUAGAAGAAAAGUAAAGAGGGAAGGGAAGAUGAGGGGAGAGGAGCAGAGGAGAGGGGAAGGGGAGGGGAGAUAAGUAGGAAGAGAAGGGGAGGGAAGGGAAAGGAAGGGAAGGAGGGAGGGAAGGAAGGAAGGGGAGGAGAAGAGAGGAGGAGGGGAGAGAAGAAAAGAAAAGCCGUCCAAGGAAAAAGUUCAGUGGAUGGUGAUGCCUGGCACAGAGUAAAUCAGAGGCACAGUGGCAGGAGGAUUACAAGUCCAGCAGUACAUAAAAGGGUAUAAAGGAACGUCCCUAAUGUUCAUAUCUUUUAAAGAAUCCAUAGGGAACUUCGCACACAUAGAAACAGAGUACAAGGUUAUAUGCAACAAGAGAUAUAUGCAAAGAAGUCCUGAAUCCCAUGAAAUAAAAGAAGGAACUCCACUCAUUGGAGCAGCAGUUCACACUGAGUUGCUUCUUUUUACAGACCAUGAAUCACAUCAAGGGUCUCAGACCUCUUCCUGCCAAACCUCUCAAGGGUGCUUUGGGUGAGUGAUGUCAUGAUGUACAUCCUACAAACCAGGGGGCUGAGCAUCUUGUCCCAUUCACACAGCAACGAGAGUGGAGAGGGGUUCCAUGAUAGACUCAUGGUUCUAGAUCCUGGUUUUUAAUGACUUCAGCAAGAACCAGGAUUUACAGGAACCUUAUAAACACCAGGAAAAGAGGAUGUCAUUAAGCUUUUUCCAAUUUUCCCCAACAAAGUGACCAGCCAGUUACUAAACAGUCUUCAAUAGAAUUCAUUGAAUCAAAUUCCCAUGAUGUUUGGACUCUGGGUAAGAAGAUGAGCAGAUGCCCUGGGCUCUCAGUUUCUUCGUCUGUAAUUGUCAACGCCCCAUGUGCUACCUUGGAAUCAGUCAUAUAAUGCAUUACUGCAGAAACUGAGAAUACCCCCCAAACCCUAGCCAUUUCUUUCUGUCCAGAACCAAUUGGUGACCAAUUGAGUAAAUGUUUUGGGGCUAGUUCAAAGGAAGCUGUAAAGAUUACACUAUAGUGAAUCUACUGUGCUGUACAUCUGUACUGUAUCUACCAGGCUGGUUCAAAGGAAGCCAAAUAAAGAUUACAAUACUGUGAAUGUACCUUACUGUACAUCAGCACCACAGCUACCAAGACCACAUGCCCAUUCACACCUUGACUUUGUAUUACAGCGUUAAGAUGGUGAUCACUUAAAAAAAAAGAAGAAAGAAAGAAAUGGAAAGGUCCUGUCUUUCUAAGUAUAGAUUUUAAUCAGCAAAAAUGAAGACUAUACAAUCUUUCAUAGGAAAUAAACUGUACUUAAUUUGAGGGGUUGGUUUUGAGUUGUCAGGUCCUAGGGCUCGCUACUCAGAACGAAAGUGCCUUCGGAAUCACCACAGUUGUCUGAGAUGAUGGCCGUCCUGUUUCCAACACAAAAGGUAGCUUCUUAUCCCUGGAUUCAUUGCAGAAUCAGGGCAGAGCCCCGGCAGCUGAGUGUACUGCUGCUGAAGGACAGACAGCAUGCUGCAUUCUUUAUUCUAGGAAGUGUCUCCUGGGAGGGCACCCCCUGCCUCUACAACAGAAACACUUCCCUCGGCGGGUGGGCGGGGCUGGAAAGGAGUUAACGUCUUACACUCAGAACCCAAUCUCAUUAUCUCUAAAUUUAUCUCUGUUUGGUUGACGUUUCUGGACAUUUUUUUUCUGAGUCUCUAAAGGGAUGAAGAAGCUGUGCCUACAGUUUUAGAUCUUGUCACCAGCGGUUAAAACAGCACCCGGCAGAGAAAUCUGUAAUCCAUCAAAUAUUUAUUUACAUUUUUUUUCUUAAAGAUUGGUAAUGACAAAGCCCACAGGCAGAGCUCAUAGAAAAUUAAAAUACAUUUCAAGUUACCAAUUUUUUUUGAAAAAUAAGAGAUAUUUUUAAUAAGGAUUUAAAAGCAAGUUUCUGAUAUUUCUUCCUACUAAUGGUUUCUUGUGAAGUGAUUCACUGUCCAUCAUGAUAGUCAAUUUGGUGUAUGUGUGUGUGUGUCUAUGUGUAGCAUAUAUGAUAUGUGUGUGCAUGUGUGUGUGUGUUUUUUUUUUUUUAAAUUUGCUCAUUGUCUCCUACACUGUUGGGUCAGCAAAGUACAGCCCUUGAACUUCUGACCUUUUGUGGUUCAAAAGACAGUAAGACAAAGAAAAGGAAAAACUCAAAAUGUUUUAUUCUAAGGGCAUGGUUCCUUUGGCAGUGUGCUGCCCUGGCAUGGACAAGGUUUGAUGACCAGUACUGUGAAAACUAAGCGUGGUGCUUUGUGGUUGCAAUCCUUGCACUUGCGAGACAGAAGCAGGAGCAUUAGAAGGCAAAGGACAUUUUUCAGCUAUAUAGUAAGGUCAGGCCAGCGUAGGACACCAGAGAUCCUGCCUCAACUUGUAACAAUUUGUCUUCUGCUUCGAACUAUCAUGUAAACAUGUAAACUAUACAUGUUUACAGCCCAUGUAUCUUAUCAAGGUGGACAGGACCAGUCCCAAUGGGGAAGAAGCUAGAGGUCUCCUUUAAGGGCUGCGUAUAGAUCCAGUCUACCCUCUUCCAGCCUGGGCCAUUACACAAGCCCUCCAGUUUCUCAGUGGUGCCAGAGGCACUAGGUGUGAAACAGGGAUGCUGUCAGUCAGCAGGGAAAUUUUCUGCCUCUGAAAAUGUCUCUGCGCUUCCUCUGUACAGCACCUCCAGCUGCCUCUGCGCACCCGCCGUGUCAGGAUUAAAAUAGCUCAGCCUUGAUGACUUCACUAGUUCUCACAAACGGGCCAGUUGGCAGAAGGCAAGCACUGCCUGCUCCUGUGGGGAGGGUUUCUUCUUUUUUAUUUGUUCCUUUCCUUCUACCCCCUAAUAUGAAUACUUGGUUUCAUUUUGACUCUGAAAGACAUUUCCUUUCUGAGGUUCAAUUCAGCACGGAACUUCAUGCAGAUUUCUCCAAAUGCCUUUAAAAGGCUCAAGCUAAAAAGAGGUCACUGGAAGCCAACACUGACUGUAUUAUAAUUUCUGAGGUGAAACUUCAAGGACAUUAAAACUACUGGGUAAGCUAACCUUACAUAACCCAAUAGUGUUUCGUGUAUUAAGGAGCAAAUACCUCCCCCCAAAUCUCAGUGAUACUUGAUGAUCAGCCACAAUUUUGAACAUCUCAUUUCGUGUGUUUAUUCUGGCUACAAGUGAAGAUGCCAACACAGAGCACCAAGGUAAAACACGACCAGUACUAACCACAGUGAGAUGAGAGAGCGCUGUGGAAGAUGAUUUUCCCUCAUCAGAGCUAGCUCAGAGAAACUGUGAAAUUCAAGAGAAAAUGGACAUAAAGCAUUCAUGCCACAAAACAGUAUAUUUCUCAACCAAAUACCCAAAUCUUAUGUGAGCGUUUUGAGUUUUCCCUUGGAGUUUUUCACUUCCUCCUAUAAUUUACCAUGCAUUAGGAAGAUGCUUUUUCUUCUAUGAAAAAGAAGGUUUUUCUUCUGUUCCAGAAUCAUAACUCAGUGCUGCACUUUGAGUCCAAGAGCGCAUUUAGAUUAACUGCUCCAGUGCCCGAUGGACAUGAGAUUUAUACUCAGAAAAGACUCCCAUAUGACUCUGGGGAUACGGAGCUAAUGAAAUAAUGUGGCUCACUGGCUAAAGACGGCUGCGCUGAAAGGUACAACCACUGCCCCUAAGAGUGGAAGAAAGGCACUGACCCUGUCCUCCAGCCCACCCACCUCCAUCCCUCUCCACUCUUCUGGGUGCCUUAGCAUCUACAGUGGUAUCCUCUUAAAACCACUCCCCCCCCCCCCCGACCUAUACAUCGCAGAGAACUUUCCAGUGAACAGGAAAGCAUCUACAUGAUAGAAAAAAUUUUAAAAUGUCCUACAAUGGUGUGUUCAUUGCACAAGCACCUGCUGACUAUCUCAUGUGCAGCAAAAAUGAUGAUGGCUGUCUCCAAGGGCAAAAUAGAUAUGAAAAUGGUCUUUAAGAGCUGCAAAGAGAUGGCCCCGUCAGUAAAGUACAGCCUGUGUUUAAUGGCAAGAACUCAUAUAUUAAAAAAAAUCCCAGGCAUAGAUCCUCAACACUGGAAGGAGGAGAGGGGCUUACUGGCCAGUCAGCCAAGCCUACUCAGUGAGCCACAGGCCAAUAAGAGAACCUGUCUCAAGAAAUAAGAGAAAUGGCUCCUAUUGUCACCUGAGGUUCACCUCUGGCCUUCACAUACACAUAUGUGCAUAUACAAGUGCACCCAGGUACAAAGAAAUUCACUCAGUCCUCUCUUUAGAUAAAUAUUGUACAGCUACAUGGAUUUAACACUGUGACAGAUACCAUCAUAGUAUGUGUGUAAGCCCAAGGCAGGUCUUCUUCUCUGUCCUCUACAUUUCAUUUACAAAAGCUCUCUCCCUGAGCCUAGAGCUAGCCAUCUGGCUACACCACUGUCCGUCAAGCUCUGGAGACUUGUGUCCUUGCCAUCUUAGGGUUACAAAUGCAGUCCACCACACCCAUCUCUUUCUGCUGAUGCCGUAGAUCACAACUACAGAGAACAUGGUUGCUUGGCAGGCAUUCUACUGAAUGUGCGGUUCCCAGCCCUUGAAAUCUUUUUAUAUUAAUCUAUUGUGAUGCUCGGUUUGCAAUAUUCUUUAUUCUAGAUUUAGAAUCGCCCUGGAAACGAGUUUCUGGGUGUGUCUCUGAGAGUUUCCAGACUGAGCAAGGAAGCCCCACCCUGAGAGUGGGUGGCACCAUUCAGUGGGCUGGGUUUUCAGAGUGAAGAGAAAGCACGCUGAACACCAGCAAUCAUUUCCUGCUGCUGCCUGACUUUGGAUCCUCUCUGACCAAUCCUCAUCUAUCCCCACCUCCAUGCCUUGCCUGCUACGCUGGGCUGUAUCCCUUCUUAAAAUAUAAACCGGUACCCUUCUUUCUACAGGGUGCUUCUUGUAAGGAAUUUGGUCAAAGCAAAGAGAAGAGCAACCAGUUCACGGAUGAAAAUCAUCAGGAAGCCUUUGCUACGGUUUGGGGAAAACCUCGUGAGAUUCAGAGUAAUCCUGAAGAUGAGGUAAGAGCUCCAGAGGCCAACAAAGACAUGUGGUGAAUGUGAACCCUGAAAAUCAAUCAAAAAAUAAAGUCAUUCACACAGUGACUGAACAAAAUGAACCAUCAGUGAUGGUAUCUUCAAUAAACAUCAAAUUUUAGAGCCAUAAAGGACCCUCUGUGAACUUAAAACUCUCACCUUUUACUAAUAAAACCUAGAACAGUUGAGUGGUUCCUGCCCAAUGACAAAGCCACAUAGGUAUUAAGUUACCAUCUCAGACCCAACAUUAAGCAUUAUUUAUCUUGUCUUCCCCCUACAAUUGUAUCCUAAGACAGAUGCACACAUACAUAUAAGUAUACUAUUCUGCAUCUGACUUAUAUUCUAACACACUUAUACAGGCAUACGUAUGAUACUUUCUGCAUAACUCAGACACAGCCAAUAUUACAUUAAUGUCUGUUUCAUAUAUGUGCAAUUCACCAUCCCACCCCAACAUAUUAUAUACAUCCACUAUUAUGUUAGUGUCUGUUUCAUAUAUGUGUAAUUUACCAUCUCACCCCCACAUACUACACUUACCUAAUAUUGCAUUAGUGGUGAAAUCAUAUGCACAUCCAACUGCUCUACACAACUACAACUCACACACAUGUGCCAUAUUAUUUUGUACCUGAUUUCUCCAUCUAUAAGUGUUUCUCAUUUAUAUGCACACUUCUAUUGACAUGGGCACACAUAAAAAAGCUUUCUAUCUGCUUGUAAAGUAAGAAAUGCAAGAGCUAACAAAUAAUCCACAGAACUAUAUGAGAAUUGAAGCCAGGUAAUUCACCUGGACUUAUUUACAUGCAUGGCCUCCCAGAGACUUGAGUGUGAAUCCAAUGAUGAAUGUGGACACUUGAUAAGAUGGGAAUGAGAACACGGGUAUCCAAGGGCAACGGCUCCCAGUUCUUAGUUCAUGCUGAGGAGAACAGUGGUGCAUCUAUUAUACAGUUCCCAUACUGUGGGACAGGUAAUGGAUAAACACAGAAACCGUGCUUGGAUUCCAGGUCCUCAUCCUAAGAUAAUUCCCAGUUUCUGAGCCCAUGUGUUACAGGAUGUGAAUGAUCAACACAGUUUGGGAUUCUGGCUACAGAGUAUUAGCUGAAGGAUAUUUUCCCACCUAUACCAGAGUGGACAAUCCAGGAGCUCUGGAUGACCUCUUUUGACAUAUAAAACUGGGAUUCUCACAGCACUUCCAGGAGCAGGGGUAAGAGAGUCUGGGGAUUGAUUCCUUGAGGGACUGUGUAUGAGAAUUUCAGAGAAAAAUACCAAUGAAACUCCUCAUGACAACCAGCUAAUAAAGUAUGUUACAAGUACCUAAGAUGUCCCUAACAAUGACACAGAAGUACUCAGGGAGACCUAGAUGGGGGCUGUCGGCCCUGCAGGAGGGUGGAGGGGCAUAAGUAGAAAUUACAGUAUGUGUUCAGUAAGGCCUGCUGUCCCUUAGAGAAGACUAAAUGUAAAUACAAAAGAGAGAGAGAGAUUCAAAACUCAAUGGCUGAGCUCACACACAGUAUAAACUUUCAGAGUCUCCCGAACCACAUAGGGGUUACUAUGACCCUUUGCUUUCUUCUUUAAGCUAUAUGUACUAUGAGAUUAGCCUAUUUUUACUUAACCAUAAAUAAUUCCCUUUUAUCAGUAAGUAUAAGUAUUACCAAGUCAUACGUGCAUUAUAUGAAAAGGUCUUCUCCGUAGCCAAACCAUGAGGUAUCACUUUUAUGAUCCUCUGGGUAAUAUUCUCAUUGUUUCAAUGAGGAUAUAUAAGCACAAGAAUAAUGAGAUGUACCAUACUGAGUUUGCACAUCUGUGUCUCUUAGGUAAAAUUCACUGACAGUUACUUCCUGGGAAAGAGGGCUUUGACUUGGAAGGUGCUAAUCUCUCCAGCCUUGGAGGGCUGCUAUAAAGGUCACAAGUCAACUCUUUAAAAUGAGACCUGAUUUUUCAAAGAGAAAUAUAUGGCUCUAAGAAAAUAAACCUCGGGUACUUUGAAGUCCAUUUUAAAGAGAUUAUUCACUGCCUAAGAUAAGGAUCAAAAGGAGCAGGCUCCGGGCAGAUACUUAGGGGACAGACUAGGGAAGGCUGCAAACAGAAAACUGCUGUUCAAAAACUGCAAUUCUAAUAUAGCAUGGUGCGGCACACUUGAGAGAUGGAAGCAGGAAGACUAUGAACUCAAGGCUAUCUUUGGCCAUAUAACAACUAGCCUGAGGUAUAUCAGAUCCUAUUUUAUCAACAGCAUUAAGAAAAUAAAAAGAGAGCUCUUCUGCCAAGGAAUACACACACUCACACUCACUCAUACACACAAACACAUUCACACACACAAAUAUACUUACACACUCCCACAAAAACACACUCCCACACACACUCCCACACACACUCCCACACACACUCAUAUACACACACACUCACACACAGACACACUCAUACACACACACACUCAUACACACACACACUCAUACACACACACACUCAUACACACACACAUAUACACUCACACACAAACACUCGCAUUCACACACACAAACACACUCACACAAACUUUCAAAGUUUAGUGGGUCAAAUACAAACUAAUAAUCGAGCCGGCUAAGAAAGAAUUUAAGUAACCUUGUGCAGCGCUCCAAAGUUAAUUAAAAAACAAAAACAAAAAUGGUGCUUCGCUAAAUAAAGGCCAAAGAAAAUAUUUUUUUUUUUUGCAAAAUGGAAGAGUAUGCAUAUAAAAUGAUUUUCUUGAUCUGUAUUAAGACAAGUAUUGUAAAUAUGAAACAAGUUACAGAAAUUCAGUGAUUAAGAAUGAGUCUGAAUCUAAUUAUUAAACCAGAUAUAUCUCUAGCAAACAAACAAACAAAACCCAAACAAACAACACAGCUAACUUGUAUUGUCAGAGUUAAGGACUCAUGGUAGAGUCAACUGACAAUUUGGCACAUAUAAAAGGUGCAAUGCCUCCUACAAAAAGCAAAGCAACUCGUGAGUGUCUGUCCAUUCAAUUCUGAAAGCAAUGGUACUAAUAGGAUAACUGAGCACGCGCACUGUCUGAUGGUUGACAGACUGUCCACUGCCUAAUGCAUUUACAAUAUGCUGUAGUUGGGUGAGGAGUGACCCCCACCCCAUGGCCAUGUUGAAGAGUGUGGCUGGACAGCUUCUGGGGCUCCAGGGAAGAGAUGGAACCUUUAAGAAGUGUGGCCUAACAAAGGGAAGUAGGGACACUAGGCUAAGCCUUGAAGGGUUGAUUUUUGAUCUAGCCCCUUCCUCUUGUUUGCUUUCCUCUCCCAUGAGGUAAAUAAACUCCUACAGAUCUCCGCCAUGUGCUCUCUCGUUCACACCUGUAGGAUCAAGUCCUCAGGGACUAAACCUUCUUAAACCAUGAUCCCGAAUAAAGCUUCAUCCUCACAACUUCACCACCUGAGGUGUCAGGUCAUAAUAACAAAAUGCCAACUAAUGCACUGCAGACUAAAACCAAAGAGAAGCUCUUAAAAGAAAAAAAAAUCACACUUUGCUAUGGUUCCAGUAUGAGAUAAAUGACAGGGAAUCAGCUUUCUAAGCUCCAAGAUGUCUGAGAAACAGGUGCUGAAGACCUUUAUGAAUGAUCUUCAGAACGAAUGCACAGGAAGAUGGGGAGGUCUGUACUGAGCUCUCUGGUUAUCAUAAUACCAAGUCGCUGAGAUUCACACCCUUCUUAGCAUCAGUCUAAGAAAUGUGGUGGGAUCUCCACAGGCAGGCUGCAUUCACUGAGCCAAAUGUCUACCUGAACCAAUGAUCUCCAAGCCUUUGUGUAUCCUCCUAACUGAUGCACCUGGAGUGCUUCCAAACAGGUGGCUCCUUUGAGCAGACUGAAGUCCUUUGCUCCCAUCAGUAGAGGCAUACCGUAAUUAAAGUAGCUUUUAAAUCAUAAACCUGUUUAUUCGAUAAUACCAUAUUGUAAUGAUUGGUUUUAAUGGAAGGAUGACUAAAAACUGUGAAAUAAGAAUACAAAAAGUAGCAGAGUGUCCAUGAAAAGCAAGGUGAUUGCUGUGAAAAUGUUCCCAGAUGAACCUACUGCAAAAACAGUAUUUACCCUGCUAGUGAGUAAGGUAUGGAUAUUUGCAAAACAAUGGGAAAAAAGAAAUCACAAGUAGCCUCAAAUCUUUACUUCAUUUUGAAGAAACAAACGGAAGGACAACCCAGAAGGCGACUGGUUUUGUGAAGAAUGAUAAAACAUGGUCGAAUUGGCUUCUGUUACUGGGAUAAACACGGACCAAAAGAAACUUGGGAAGGAAAGGGUUCCUCUCAUCUUUCAGAAUUAUACUCCAUGGUUUAAGAAAGAGAAGGCAGGAGUUCAAAACGGGAACAUGGAGGCAGAAACUGAAAUGGAGGCCACAGAGGAAAAUCUGCUUUCUGGCUUUUUUAGUAUGGUUUCUUCCUUCCUUCCUUCCUUCCUUCCUUCCUUCCUUCCUUCCUUCCUUCCUUCCUUCCUUCCUUCCUUCCUUUCCUUCUUUAUUCCUUUCUUUCUUUUUUGAGACAGGGUUUCUCUGUAUAGCCCUGGCUGUCCUGGAACUCACUCUGUAGACGAGGCUGGCCUCGAACUCAGAAACCCACCUGCCUCUGCCUCCCAAGUGCUGGGAUUAAAGGCAUGCGCCACCAUUGCCAGGCCUUAGUCUGAUUUCUUAUCCAACCCAGAUCCUAGCGUACCUAGCAUGGCAGAUGCACUAUGACCAUGGCAUCAUGCCAAGACCUACAGAUACAAAAACAGCAAAUUAAUCUAUUCACCCUCCAACCCCAGUCAAUACUGUAAAUAAGAGACGGUACCAACCUUGGUAUGGAGGAUGUGGGGUGCCAUGACAGUAAUAGUGAUUUUAGUGAUUUGGGUGGAAACCCUAAAGAGAGAAUUUAUGUAAUUCUGAAAACUGUUCAGAAAAAAAAAGAAUGAUAUAACACCAGUAUUACAAAAUGUCUAAUCAACAGGGCUUGGUAACUGAGGGGAGAUAAAAGCAUAUGGAAUAAAAAUCUCAAACAGACCAUCAACAGGUUUAGGGAUUUUACAGAUGAGGAAACAAAGACAAAGAACAUAGCUGAGAACAUUAGUUUCAAAUGCUAUACAUUAUAUCCAGGAAGAAAUGGAUAACUAUCAGUUGCCUAUCUACAUUCAAGGCUCAAAAAAAAAUGAAGGUGACAAUUGAAGACAGGAAGUGAGCCUGGUGGCCCAAAUGGGCCUACUCAUGGAAGUAAAUAUAGAAAGAAGGGAGUGGGGCAUGGGGUGUAACUCUUUGAAACACCAGUGUUAGAGGCAAGAAAUGAAAGCCCACUCCCUCUAGGAUGUGAGGUGGAAAAGAAGCAAGCAGCUGUGGACAAGAGCUUCUAUGGAAAGUGUCAUCCGGACACUGUCAUGGUGGUCUCACUCAUCUGAUGUCUAUUUGGAGUGGCCCUUCUCCAAAUUUCUUACAGCAAGCCUAAGACAUUGAUGAUCACAAUUUCACUCUUUCUGCCUUAUGCACUAGAUGCAUGAGUGUUCUUCCCAAAUUCCUAGGUGUUCACAGGGAAAACCGAUGAGGGCCAUCUCAUUUGCAAUGGAACCAUGUAGCAUAGGAUUAGUGCCCUGGUAAAGGAGAGCCCACAGCAAGGGCUGUAGCCAAGUAGUACACCCCAGGCCAGGUCCUCAGUCAGUCCCAAGUAUCACAGAGACACAGUGUGAGUGAGAGCAAAAGCAAGAGGAGGAGACUGAUGGUUCCCCAGGUAGUGCUUCACUCACCUUCUGCCAGAUGAGGGGAUAGGGAGACUUUGACCAUCUGCACCAGGACCUGACCAUGCUGCUUCUGUGAGCUUAGAUUUCCAGCCAGAGAACUGUGAGCAUUAAAGUUCUUGUAGCACUAUGGGAAGGAGCAAGAGCAAGAAUGUGGGCAGGGCAGAUGGAAGGAGAGAGGGAGCAGUGGCACGAGGAUGGUGGGUGUGCCACCACGGGAAGGAAACUGAAGAGACAAGCAGUAAGUUAAGUCAAGUGAAAGCAAGGUCAGGAAGGUGGCCUCUGCCACCAGGAUCGUGCAGACACGCUCCCUAACACAAGAGACAACCCUAAACUCAGGAAGCUCUGGGUUCUGCUGCGCUCCCCCCCCCACUCCUCUGCCAUUUCACAGCAUUCUAAAGGAAGUACGUCCCCAGAUUUACUGAUGCAUCAGGAGCUAUCAGACACUGCAGAAAUAAUAAAAUCAUUACCUCAGAAAGACAGAAGGAAACUUAUGUCUCGGAGAAAAUGGAAUUUAUUGGGGGGGCGGUUCAGAGUGAUCGUCGUGGCUGCUGCUUGUCACCAGACACAAGGAUUAGCUUUACAAUAAAGGACUUCCACAAUGUCAAAUGAAAAGUCAUAUAUUAAACAAACUUAACAAAUAUUCUGUAAGCAAAAGAAAAGAAAAGAAAAGAAAAGAAAAGAAAAGAAAAGAAAAGAAGGAAGGAAAGAGGGAGGGAGGGAGGGAAAGAGAGAGAGAGAGAGAGAGAGAGAGAGAGAGAGAGAGAGAGAGAGAGAGAGAGAGAGAGAGAGAGAGAUCAGGUGUGGCAUCGAAGAAACACAGCAUGUAACAGUUUGGGAAGCCAUGAGCGACGUGUGAGCGUCCCCGAAGGUACUCACACUCAAGUGCUUGGGCUAGAGAGCAAAUGGGGGUUAAGAAAGCCAUGGCAAACUCUCCUAGAGCUGAGGAGAAAGGAGAGUAAGUAAAGUUUGUCUACUAGAGAAGGAAACAAACAGAGAAAAGGAAGGAGACAGAGUAAAGGAAGGCCCUUUAAAAUGUAUACCAUGCGCCAACAGCUGGCCUGGACCACACAAGACUCUAUCUCAAAACUAGAAACUAUCAGAGAGUAAGCAAACAGAAGUUCAGACAUUUUCAUCUGGAGGAAAAGGUGACAGAUCCUAAGCAAUGCUAUCAGGAACAGCCUCAGGCCCAGACAACCGGCCCUCUGCAGUAUGUGAGGAAAGGAGGGAGAUGCUUCCAGGCAAGGGGAGGGCAGAUUGACUGAGGAUUGAACUGGGGGGGUUCCUGGCUUCCAGACAGUUAUCUAAGGUGCUACACCAUUCGUCCCUGUGGGACGGAUCUGGUUGCUGCAAGAUGAUUCUGGAUGCUCACACAUGGCCCCUCCUGAGGCUUGACAGCAGGCCUGUAACAUUCCUUCAUCAAUGACUGAAAGAUGCAAGUGUCAGAUUAGCCUCACUGACAGCAUAGUUUAGGAGAUAAGCUUUACAUAAUAAGCUUAAGAGAGGCUGAAGUAAUGACUCAGGGAGCAAGAGCACUUCCUUUGCAAGUGUAAAGACCUGAGUUUGGAUCCCAGCAUCCACAUAAAAAGCUAGAUGUAGCCACAUCUGUUCUUAACUCCAGAGCUGUAGGAAACAAGGGACUUGGCUGGGACUUGAUGGCUGCCAGCCUAGAUGCAGUGACACAACCUACCUCAAAAGAAAAAAAACAGUGAAAUAGGAUCGAGCAGGCCACCUGACAUCCUCCUCAGGGCUUACACAUAUGCCACAUAUGUGCUUGUACCCAAAUCACAAACAUACUUACACAAAUAUACUACACAUACAUACAAUACAACAUACGGAAAUAAACAGCAGGAGACCAAGAGUCACUAGGAGCAAUUCAUACAGGUUAUCAAUCUUAAUUAUUCUUACACACAGACAUACAUACGCACACACACAGCAUGCAUAUAUACACAGUAGCAAAAAUAGGCAUCACCAAAUAGAACUAGAAAUAAAGCACACACCACUGCCUUUAUGGGGCUAAGAUGCUGAUGAUAACAUCACAUCUUACUGCGAUAAAGAUUACAAUUGCUAAUCCUGGCAAGGUGGGUUCCCCCACCUAAAAAUGGCACAGGGGUUGUCAGUCUAAAGCAUGCCAAAUCAUAAGUGGACUCCUAGAUGUAAUGUGGCCAUUACCUCGGGAGCAUGUCACUAAACCCGAGGAAAAUAUUAGUAAGAGAAAAGGAUUUAAUCAUACUUCUACAUGGCUACCAGGUGACAGUGUCAGCAACAGCCUCAGGCUGUAGUCUGUAAAGCUAAACUCUCUUACAGCUCAUAAAGUUUUAACAAGCGAAGAAACAAUGAACUGAAAGAGAUGCGACAACAAAUGGUUAAAAAAAAUUAAGAUCCAAGCCCCAUCCCGGCGCUACAAAACUGGCCACAGCGCAAUGCUGCACUGUGAUUGCUAUUAUGUUAAAUUGAUGCUGAGGGGAAAGAAUGAGCAACUGUCUGAAUAUUGACAGAAAAGCGUAAAACUCCAUGUAAUGAAUCAGCAGCAGCUCUGACAUUUUCCUUCCUCCUGGAACCAUCAGAUAUUCUGCCACAGGAACUUAGCACCCAAGGUGCAAUGCAGGGGAUAUGGUUAGAUUCCCAUGAUGACCUCGAGGCAACUCCCAUCUUUUCUUCACAGAAGAUACCUAAGUAGAAAUGCAAGUUUACCUGGAAGCAAAGCCAAUGAUUGCAAAGCUCUGCCACUCACCUUUACCCUAGAUUAUAUUCCGCUUUCUAAUGCUUCAAGUCAAUGGCUCUUAGCCUACCUGAUGCUGUAGCCAUUUAAUUAUAAUUCCUCAUGCUGUGGUGACCUCCGACCAUAAAAUUAUUCUGUUGAUGCUCCAUACCUGCAGUUUUGCUACUGUCUUGAAUCUCAGAGUAAAUAUCUGUUAUGCAGGAUAUCUGAUAUGCAACCCUUGCCAAACCACAGGUUGAGAUGCACUGAUCCAAGCACAUGUCUUCCUGAAUCUCUUUCUGUAUUUUUGACAGCUUCAGACAUACACAGAAUGCAUCGUAAUUCUAUCCAGCCCCUUGUUACCCUCUGGUAGCCUUCUCUGAAGCCCUUCUUCUUCCCACCUUGUCCCCCAGUGAUUACACCAUCAGGGACAAUGAUGUCUCCUCCCGUAUGAUCAAAGUCUUCAGAAUCACAUUCUGUUAUCUGUCACAGGAAGUCAGAGUGCCCAGUGUCAUGCAGGUCCCCACAGCUCUGUGUGUGUCAACUCUGAAUAGGAACAUUUCACAACACUGCUCCAUCUUCUGACUCUAAGAUUGUUCCGGUCCUUCCUCUGUGAUGUUCCCUGGGCCUUGGAAGGUGGCGAUGGGGUUGCUAUCUAUGUCCUGUUUAAGGGUCACAGCUUCUACCACCAAGUAGACACUGAGACAUGACAGCAUCGUUACUAUAAGGUGACCCUUCUCUAGUUUUCACCUCCGAUAUAAAGCCCAGGAAGACUGACGCCAGGAAUCUUACCAUGCCAGCCAGAAUACUGAAGAUAAUUCAUAUCUCCAUUUAUCAUUCAUUAGAAUAGAACUCAAAUCUCCUAAAUUACAGGAAAGGCAAGAAAGCACUUCUCGGAUAUUGGGCCAACACUUCAAGAAAGAACCAUUGUAUAAAAGAGGACACUAGUAGCCUGUGUUUUCAAGUUGUUACGUAGAUUCUUCGUCAUCCACUUAGCAGGUAUUAGAAAGUAUUUGGGAAGCUUGUUUGUGGAGCAUUAACUCAUUACACAGCCAUCACAGCACGUAGUAAAUGAAAACAAGUCUAAGCAAACAGGUAAACACAUUUACAUGUGACAGUGAAUUCAGUCUUAAAGUUCUGAUAGGCAAGUAGUCAUAGAUCUCUUUUUAAAAAGUCAUUUUUUUACAACUAUAUUAGUUGUGUGAAUAUUAGGAAGAGUUAUUUUUAUAACACAUUUUGCUAAUGGACUUAAAAGCAUGGUUGUUUCAAUUAUUUUUUUAAAAAAAUUGAGUUCGUCAUUCUUUGAUGGUCUCAUACAGGUAUAUACUAAUUUUUUGGUAGUUUUCAUGGGUAAUGUAGGCCUGCAUUACUUUCUCCUUCCUGCCACUGUUGGAGGUGUCCUUCCCAUCAGUGACCCUGCCAGUUUGAUGUCUUUUAUUUUUUUCACUCUCUGAGUUCAAUUAUGGCAGUCAGCAUGAGUUGGGGGCCAGGGAGAGUUAACUUCUUAACUACACCACUACAGGAAAUGUUUCAAUGAUUUUCAAAAAUCACUUUGUCCUGCUAUCAAUUCCCCUAAGUACAUGAAGCCUUUACAAUACAGAAUCUUCCAACUUAAAAAAGAGAGAGAGAGAGAGAGAGAGCUGGUACUCCCCAGCCAAAAGAAGACAUCUUAUUGAAUUGAUGGAUAUAUACACAGGAUCCCCAGCCCUCUGAGCAGUCACUGAGAUUCUCUUACUCCUAGCCUCAUUCAAGAAGACAGUUGGUAGCCUUGGAAGGCCUGCCGGUUGAAUGGCUGUACGAGGACUGGAAUCCUGUGCUGCUCUUCCUUGAGCAGAGUGACUGUCAUACUUGGAAGACUGACAUAAUGUCUACGGGUUGCUCACCAUUGUCCCAAUGAGAGUCAUAAUAAAACAGAAGGGGAUGUAACAGUGCAAACAAGGAAAUGUUAAUAACCCGGGCACUCUUGCAAUUAAUUUGUUAUCAAUUUAAAAUUAUUUCUCAGUAAGAGAAUUGGAAAUUUAUUUCACAGUUUUUAUUUCAAGACUACAGGAUAUGGUAUAAUUUCAUCCAGCUGUUAAAAAGCAAUCCAAAAUGGUUUUUUUUCUAAUUAAUUAAAUGGUUGUAGCAUUUGAGCAGAUCAACAAGGCUUUCUGCCCCUACCCCUCAGUGGCCACUUAGAACAGCAAAUUGAUCUAAAAGUUCUGUGCGUGGUCAAAGAUGUUAGCUGGGAGCUAAGAAAGAUGUGCAGCUAGAAAGCACAUAUCACAUACGCCAGGGGUUUGCACUUGCUCACAGAGAAAAAUCAUUUGGGGAAAGGUAAACACUGCCUCAACUGGUUAGUAGCAGACAUCCUUCCAGGCAGCCCAAAGGAAGGCUCACAGGGAAUUCUCAAGAACAAAGCAGAGACCUUUGGGUGGGGUGGGGUGGGGUGGGGGGCAAUGUAACUACAUGAAACUACAUAAUAAUACGCUAUCUCUAUGACUCUGUAGAUAUUUUCUUGAGAAAAACAUAAAUAAAUGGAAUGAUUUCAAACUAAACAGACAACCUCAACCUCUCAAGCUAUUCCAGCUAUCAAGCGGGGUGGGGUGGGGGCAAUGGGAAAGUUGGAGCUUGAGGGCAGCCUGGGCUACAUAAUGGCUUAAAGGGCAGUUGAUCUUAGCUACAGCAUUAGACUCUCUAAAAGUCAAGCAGAAUGGUAGCACAUACCUGUAAUACCACCAGCAGUUAGGACAAAGGAAAGAGGAUUGGGAUUAUCCUCAGCUACAAGGUGUUAUAGGCUAGCCCGAACCACCAGAAACCAUAUCUCAAAAAGAGAAAGACAACUCCAGGAUGACUACCAAUAUAUACUCAAGAGCCAACUUGGAACUGUGCCUAAUUUAGAAGGCUUGUUCCAGUAAACGCCAUAAAAGAACGCUCAGAUAUGACAUAUAACUGACUACCACAGCACACAUGGCCUCAGUUUACAUAAUGACUCAGAAACAAAUGGAAGCUCAUUAGAAGCCCGUGAGGUUGGGUGCAAUCCAAUCCGUGGCAGAGACUGUAAGAAGUACAGUUAAUAUUAGAAAGGUAAGGACGAUUUUCCAAAUGGUUACAAUUAUCUUUCCAAAAUGGACUAAAAAGUUUAUUUGGUUCUUUAUGAAACUACAAGCACACAUCCCGUACAGGGAAAUAAAACAGAGAGGUACAUGGAAAUUUACCAGACAAGGUCGUCUGAGGGCCUGUGAGUCACUGCACUCAAACACAUUUUUAGUACAUCAUUUCAGUGAUUUGUACAUUUUGUUUCUAGACAGUGUCAAGUGGGACAUCAUUAUUUCUCCGGGGACAGGUAAACUAUUUGGUGAGUGAUUAAGCUCCUAUUCUGCAAUAACUAAUGUUUAUUCAGCCAUAACUUUACAUUGGUGUUUCUAUAUAUUUGCAUAAAUUGAGAUUCAUGAAGAUGCCUAAGACACUCAAUUUCCACAGUCAUAUCCUCUUAACCAUUCUGAGGCCAGUGGUAUUUAAUGGAUAGUAUAGGUCAGUGGCCUCACCACAAGUUUCUCAGUGGCCAGACCCUAGCUUUCUAGGAUAAGUCUGAUGGCAUGCUUCCUGUAUCCGUCACCAAUGUCCUCACAUUUCUCUGCUUUCUUAUUCUAGUAAACAGCACCACCAUUUUGCCUGUCCUUGACAUUUAAAAUACACAUCUGUAAAUUUCUAUCAAGAAAACUUUUUUUUUAAAAUACGGUUGUUAUAAUGCAUACCUAUAACCCCACUACAUCACUUGGAAGGUGGACACACAGGAACAGGAUUCUCAAUCAGUCUCAGUACCACAGCAGGUUUAAGACAUCCUCAGUUACAUGAGCCUUCUCUUAAAACAAAGCCAAGAAACGGUUUUUCCUUAGAAUUUAAGUUUAUAAAUAUGCAUGUGUCCACAUAAACUUAUUGUUCAUACUUAAAUCUGACAACUCCUAAGUUUCUUAGAUUUAUUUGGGGCAGCGACAGAGCAUCAGCAAUAACAACAAAAACAAAAAACAAAAACAAAACCUUUUUUUUAACCAGGAGGCAAGUAAUAAGAAGACAAAAUACAAAAUGUAUACAUAUGUGUUCUCCUACUUUAUGAUCAUUUAGAAAUGGCCUAGGUUCCCCUUUCAUUUUCUUCUUUCCACAGUUACACAAUGAUGGUUGUGCCUUUAAUCUAAUGUUUCAUCCUCCUCGUGCCAACUUGUCUUUUUAUUCCUGAUGUCUGUCUUUGUUCCAUGGAUGAGACGACACACAUUGGUCUGCUGUGGGAAGCCGCCCCCACAUUCGCCGUCACAAGAUGGCGCUGACAUCCUGUGUUCUAAGUUGGUAAACAAAUA
This is an RNA transcript of Mus musculus (house mouse), 31357 nucleotides long. It is a transcript of the gene named RIKEN cDNA 4930517O19 gene, with no coding region annotated. The record is from RefSeq and is a predicted model, not a curated record. The transcript has 3 exons. NCBI's taxonomy places the organism in Eukaryota, Metazoa, Chordata, Mammalia, Rodentia, Muridae.